UACGAAGGGGGCUAGCGUUGUUCGGAGUUACUGGGCGUAAAGGGCGCGUAGGCGGCGCACCAAGUCGGAUGUGAAAGCCCCGGGCUCAACCCGGGAAGUGCACUCGAAACUGGGAGGCUAGAGUACUGGAGAGGUUGGUGGAAUUCUCGGUGUAGAGGUGAAAUUCGUAGAUAUCGAGAGGAACACCGGUGGCGAAGGCGGCUCACUGGGCCGGUCCUGACGCUCAGGCGCGAAAGCGUGGGGAGCGAUCCGG
RNAcentral lists this ribosomal RNA (253 nucleotides) under uncultured bacterium. RNAcentral describes it as "partial 16S ribosomal RNA". It matches the Rfam family "Bacterial small subunit ribosomal RNA", at positions 524 to 776 of the family's 1533-position model. The record is from RNAcentral.